GUGCUCGAUUUGACAGCACAUAUACUAAAAUUGGAACGAUACAGAGAAGAUUACAGUGGCCCUUGAGCAAGGAUGAUAUGGAAAUUUGUGAAGCAUUCUGUAUUUUU
This is a small nuclear RNA of Trichechus manatus latirostris (Florida manatee), 107 nucleotides long. The record is from RefSeq and is a predicted model, not a curated record. NCBI's taxonomy places the organism in Eukaryota, Metazoa, Chordata, Mammalia, Sirenia, Trichechidae.